CAAAGUACUUGAACAUAUCAUCUGUAAGCACAUACUAAACCAUCUAGACAAGCACAGGGUACUAACAUCACUCAACCAUGGAUUCAGAUCCGGAUACUCGUGUGAGACACAGCUACUAGUCACACUGCACGACUUCAUGAAAUCACAUGAUGCUGGAAACCAAAUUGAUGUUGCUAUCCUGGACUUUUCAAAAGCAUUUGACACAGUGCCACACAACAAACUCCUACACAAACUAGACGAAUAUGGUGUGAGAGGACCACUGAAUAAAUGGCUAGAAAUGUUUCUAACUCAGAGAAGGAUGAAGGUUGUCAUUGAUGGAGAGGAAUCGGAAGAAGUUACAGUGGACUCAGGAGUGCCACAAGGAACCGUACUCGGACCCCUUCUCUUCCUCUGUCAUAUCAAUGAUCUCCCGGACUCAGUAAAAUCAACUGUUAGACUUUUUGCUGAUGAUUGUCUGCUAUACAGAAAUAUAAAAACUCAACGAGACCACACACUGUUACAACAAGAUCUGGUUAGCCUAGAAAAAUGGGCCAAAGACUGGGGUAUGCGCUUCAACGCAAAGAAAUGUUACAUCUUGAGCAUUAAGAACAAAAGUCAGAAGUUCUAUACCCUUGAUGGACACAUACUCCAACAGGUCAAACACAACCCAUACCUGGGACUACAGAUAUCGGACGAUCUGAAAUGGACCACCC
RNAcentral lists this long non-coding RNA (692 nucleotides) under Mytilus galloprovincialis (Mediterranean mussel). The record is from RNAcentral. Lineage: Eukaryota; Metazoa; Mollusca; Bivalvia; Mytilida; Mytilidae.